This 336-nucleotide unclassified non-coding RNA is filed under the name soil metagenome. RNAcentral describes it as "partial contains 5.8S ribosomal RNA, internal transcribed spacer 2, and large subunit ribosomal RNA". The stretch from base 1 to 120 matches the Rfam family "5.8S ribosomal RNA", at positions 35 to 154 of the family's 154-position model. The record is from RNAcentral.
GAUGAAGAACGUAGCGAAAUGCGAUAAGUAAUGUGAAUUGCAGAAUUCAGUGUAUCAUCGAAUCUUUGAACGCACAUUGCGCCCGCCAGUAUUCUGGCGGGCAUGCCUGUUCGAGCGUCAUUUCAACCAUCAAGCCCCAGGCUUGUGUUGGGGACCUGCGGCUGCCGCAGGCCCUGAAAACCAGUGGCGGGCUCGCUGUCACACCGGGCGUAGUAGAUUUUAUCUCGCUCUGGGCGUGCUGCGGGUUCCGGCCGUUAAAAAACCCUUUUAACCCAAGGUUGACCUCGGAUCAGGUAGGAAUACCCGCUGAACUUAAGCAUAUCAAUAAGCGGAGGA